This 379-nucleotide ribosomal RNA is filed under the name uncultured eukaryote. RNAcentral's name for it is "partial 18S ribosomal RNA". It matches the Rfam family "Eukaryotic small subunit ribosomal RNA", at positions 592 to 975 of the family's 1831-position model. The record is from RNAcentral.
CAAUAGCGUAUAUUAAAGUUGUUGCGGUUAAAAAGCUCGUAGUUGGAUUUCUGCUGAGAACGACCGGUCCGCCCUUUGGGUGUGUAUCUGGCUCUUUCUUGGCAUCUUCUUGGUGAACGUUGCUACACUUGACUGUGUGGAGCGCUACCCAGGACUUUUACUUUGAGGAAAUUAGAGUGUUUCAAGCAGGCAUACGCCUUGAAUACAUUAGCAUGGAAUAAUAAGAUAGGACCUCGGUUCUAUUUUGUUGGUUUCUAGAGCUGAGGUAAUGAUUAAUAGGGAUAGUUGGGGGCAUUCGUAUUUAACUGUCAGAGGUGAAAUUCUUGGAUUUGUUAAAGACGGACUACUGCGAANGNAUUUGCNAAGGAUGUUUNCAUUG